GCACUGCUGAGGAGUCCCACGAUAGGACGAAAUGGCCGUCCAGUGC
Molecule: non-coding RNA, 46 nt
Organism: Schistosoma haematobium
Lineage: Eukaryota; Metazoa; Platyhelminthes; Trematoda; Strigeidida; Schistosomatidae
Source: Rfam